GUUUGAAUUUCUGCAGUCAACUCACAGGCUUCUUGCUACUUUAGGCUGAUUUAUUGUUGUUCCCAUUCCCUUUUUCUGAGUGGUUAUUCAUUCCCAGCGCUGGCCUCUGAUGGCCAUCUGCUUCUCCUUUGGUCACUCGAACAUUUGCCCCAGAGAUUUGGAAAAUGAGCUUCCUCUGGAAGCCUAAAAAUAAGCUUAGUGUGACUGAAGCAUGAUAGAGAACUCACCACCCUCCCCUGUCCUGUAGAUACUGACCAGGGGAAUGAGCCAGCAUGGCUUCCUAGGGAUUUGGAGCCUGGAUGUCUUCUGUCACAUCUGCAGAUUUUUUUUUUUCUCUCAAGUGUUGGGAACCGUAAAAACAUGGCAUGAGCUGGGUGCAACCAGUCCUCCUGCAGUUUUCCUUGGGAUCAGAUGUUCUUACUCAAUGGAAAUAGUUGGAGAUAGAAGCCAUACUUUGCAUGGUUUGUUUGUAAGGCUUCAAGAGUUAGCUGAGAAAGACAGAUGCUUAGGAGUUAAGCAUAUUAAUCACAGUGUGUUCAAGAAGAUCUCAUAAAUGCUUUGGACAGCAGUUAUAGGACAUUUCUAAGUACUAGAGUUUUAGUUUGGACCCAGGGGGCCUGUCUCAUGAGUAAUGAUGGUUUUGCUCCCCACCUCCCGAGGACUAAAAUUUGCCAGAAGCUAAAGCUCAAUCCCUAUGCUAUUUCUCAUCCAAAAUUAUUUCUAGCCACAUUGUCCAGUGCAGCUUUUCAGAGGUUCUGCAAUGAGAUAAAAUGUCAAUAAUGAUAUUCAAACAAUUAAAAUACCAAUAAAUUCAAAUCCCUUUGCAAGUCAUAAUCCAAAGAUGUUCAAAUCUAAAACAAUUAACAUCCAAACUUAAAUUUCCUUGACCUUUUGAGUUAAAAACCAAAGUACUUAAUGGCCUCCUUUGAUCAUUCCGAUUUCUUGUUUUGUUCCAUCUUAGAAAAAUGACGUACUUGAUGCUGGGUGCUGGGUGGAGAUGGUUCCUGUUCUCCAUCUGCAGACUGGGCUGUCUUCUACUGUAACAAAUAUGGCUGUUUCAGCUCCAAGAAAGUUGAAUUUGUUCAACGGCAUGUCUGUUGUGUGCUUUACUUUUUAGUGAAAUGUAAAUGAACAAAGAGUAAAUGGACCCAUAAUGGUUGGCCCCACACCCUUGACAUGUAAAAAAAAGGAACCAAUUCCUAGCCCCUGGACAGUUGUCCCAGGCAAAAUUUUGUUCCCAGGAUCUUAUUUAAUUUUGCCAAAGACCCCGUCAAGAACUGAAAAAAGUCUGAGGUUUUUACACUACAGUUUCAUGGAUGCUGGUAGAAGACAUGAGAUUCCUGGGUCAGAGACAAAUGACUUUAUUACUCAUGGCACAGCAAGUAACUUUUGGCUUUCUCUAAUCCCAAUUUAGGAUUCGGUCUCAGUUUAGAGCUUCCUGUUUGCAUAAUUCCCACUCCCCCCGCCUGUGGAAGUGAAGCAGAGGGCCUCAGAUAGAUGCAUACACAGUGGAUUUGCUUCACAGCUGGGAACCCUGAACGUAGGCAACCUGAAUCUUUUAUGAUGGGCUAGAAGCAAACUUGAUGGCCCUUUGCUCCAGAAAGAGACGUGAUUAUACUGGACAGUGAACAAACCAGGCCCUUCCUUCUGAGACACUGUCUCUAACCUUCAAGGCUGUUCAUCCAACAUCCUUGAAAAGAUAGAUAAAUCCAGAGUAGAAACAACCUAUGCCCCUGUUCACAAGCCACACAGAAAUGGGAGAGACCCAUGGAGAAUGGUCUCCCAAGGCUAUAGCACAGACUCAGUAAUAGCAAGUAAAAGAAGAUUGAUGGUAAAAAAUAUUCUUGGCUUUUCUUAAAAAGAUGCCAGUCAGUCUACAGCAGUUGUUUGGAGUCUAUGGCCAUGAAUUUAAACCCAGCGGCAAGAAUCUACCUCCCAGUCUGGAUGGAGGAAAAUCAAUCUGGUCCUGCUUAAAGUGCUUUUCAUUUCUAUUCAAAAGCUUCUUGAUUUGCAUUUAUACUUUGAGAUGAAAGCGAAGGCCUCCCUGAUGUACUGCGUUGGGUGUGGACUGUACCUCUGCCAGAGGUUCCAGUUCUCAAGAGCAGACAUUUUCAGUCCUGGGCCUCCUUUUCCAUCUCCACUGCCUCUUGGCAUAGACGUGCUUAGCCUGGAGGAAGCUGCAUCUCUCCUCCCCAGUUUACUCAUCUGGAAAAACACCCUCUGCAGAUUCCUGAACCAAACCUGCUCUCAGGAGUUCUGAAGCUUCUGUCCUAAUGAGCUGGUAAAGGCUAAUACCUCUGCCACCUGCUCCAUGAGAUUUGUUUUUCCUCAGGUUUUGAAUAUUCCAGGGGUCGAGUAGCACUGCUUUCUGCUAUGUUUGGGGGUGGGGGGCAGUAAUUGGAUCCGCCUCUAGUGGUUCACAUCUGCCUCCUUUGGGAAAGACUCACUUACGUUUCUGUUUAACCUUUCUUCUUUCUGUGAAAGACUCCUUUCUUCUUUCAUGGCCCUGCUUGCUGAAUCAGUGUGCCAUUUUUACUUCUCCUUUGCUUUCUUACUCAGAUUUAUUUUUUCUAAAAUACUCUUCUAGAUUGUGUUGUAUAU
Molecule: long non-coding RNA, 2601 nt
Organism: Phocoena sinus (vaquita)
Lineage: Eukaryota; Metazoa; Chordata; Mammalia; Artiodactyla; Phocoenidae
Source: Ensembl